GGUUCCCUACGGGACGCAGCAGUGGGGGAUAUUGCACAAUGGGGGGAACCCUGAUGCAGCGACGCCGCGUGGGUGAAGGAGCGUUUCGGCGCGUAAAGCCCUAUCGGCAGGGAAGAAGAUGACGGUAUCUGACCAAGAAGCCCCGGCUAGCUACGUGCCAGCAGCCGCGGUAAUACGUAGGGGGCCAGCGUUAUCCGGAUUUACUGGGUGUAAAGGGGGCGCAGACGGCAAUGCAAGCCAGGAGUGAAAGCCCGGGGCCCAACCCCGGGCCUGCUCUU
Molecule: ribosomal RNA, 278 nt
Filed under: uncultured bacterium
Lineage: Bacteria
Description: partial 16S ribosomal RNA
Rfam family: Bacterial small subunit ribosomal RNA
Source: RNAcentral